RNAcentral lists this ribosomal RNA (1043 nucleotides) under Providencia rettgeri. RNAcentral's name for it is "partial 23S ribosomal RNA". It matches the Rfam family "Bacterial large subunit ribosomal RNA", at positions 928 to 1840 of the family's 2925-position model. Lineage: Bacteria; Pseudomonadati; Pseudomonadota; Gammaproteobacteria; Enterobacterales; Morganellaceae. The record is from RNAcentral.
CAUCCCGACUUACCAACUCGAUGCAAACUACGAAUACCGAAGAAUGUUAUCACGGGAGACACACGGCGGGUGCUAACGUUCGUCGUGAAGAGGGAAACAACCCAGACCGCCAGCUAAGGUCCCAAAGUCAUAGUUAAGUGGGAAACGAAGUGGGAAGGCUCAGACAGCCAGGAUGUUGGCUUAGAAGCAGCCAUCAUUUAAAGAAAGCGUAAUAGCUCACUGGUCGAGUCGGCCUGCGCGGAAGAUGUAACGGGGCUAAACUAUGCACCGAAGCUGCGGCAGCGAACGUAUCACUUAAACUGAUUAAGUGAUACUCAAAUGUAUCAAAACGAUUGACGGAGCGAAGCGACGUCAAUGCGUCCAACAAAGUCGAGGCGGAAACGUCAGGCAGUCAGUUUAAGGAUACGUUCGUUGGGUAGGGGAGCGUUCUGUAAGCCUGUGAAGGUGUGCUGUGAGGCAUGCUGGAGGUAUCAGAAGUGCGAAUGCUGACAUAAGUAACGAUAAUGCGGGUGAAAAACCCGCACGCCGGAAGACCAAGGGUUCCUGUCCAACGUUAAUCGGGGCAGGGUGAGUCGACCCCUAAGGCGAGGCAGAAAUGCGUAGUCGAUGGGAAACGGGUUAAUAUUCCCGUACUGGUGAUAAUUGCGAUGGGGGGACGGAGAAGGCUAGGCUAUCCGGGCGACGGUUGUCCCGGUUUAAGGAUGUAGGCAGGUGAAUUAGGCAAAUCCGGUUCACUAUAUGCUGAGGUCCGACGACGAGUCACUACGGUGAUGAAGUAGCUCAUGCCCCGCUUCCAGGAAAAGCCUCUAAGCUCUAGAUUAUCAUUAAUCGUACCCCAAACCGACACAGGUGGUCAGGUAGAGAAUACUCAGGCGCUUGAGAGAACUCGGGUGAAGGAACUAGGCAAAAUGGUGCCGUAACUUCGGGAGAAGGCACGCUGGCAUUAGGUGAAGUGAUUUACUCAUGGAGCUGAAGCCAGUCGCAGAUACCAGCUGGCUGCAACUGUUUAUUAAAAACACAGCAACUGUCUCUUAUACAAAUCU